Molecule: ribosomal RNA, 253 nt
Filed under: uncultured bacterium
Lineage: Bacteria
Description: partial 16S ribosomal RNA
Rfam family: Bacterial small subunit ribosomal RNA
Source: RNAcentral
GACAGAGGCCCCGAGCGUUAGGCGGAAUCACUGGGCUUAAAGCGUGUGUAGGCGGGAGCGUAAGUACCUUGUGAAAUCCCACGGCUCAACCGUGGAACGGCUGGGUAUACUGCGCUUCUUGGGCCAACUAGGGGCAGCCGGAACAAGCGGUGGAGCGGUGAAAUGCGUAGAUAUCGUAAGGAAGACCAGUGGCGAAGGCGGGUCUCUGGACAGUUCCUGACGCUGAGGCACGAAGGUCAGGGGAGCAAACGGG